Molecule: ribosomal RNA, 482 nt
Filed under: uncultured bacterium
Lineage: Bacteria
Description: partial 16S ribosomal RNA
Rfam family: Bacterial small subunit ribosomal RNA
Source: RNAcentral
GACGAACGCUGGCGGCGUGCUUAACACAUGCAAGUCGGACGCUGAAGCUCAGCUUUUGUUGGGUGGAUGAGUGGCGAACGGGUGAGUAACACGUGAGUAACCUGCCUCCUUCUUUGGGAUAACGCCCGGAAACGGGUGCUAAUACUGGAUAUUCACUGGUCUUCGCAUGGGGGUUGGUGGAAAGGGUUUUUCUGGUGGGGGAUGGGCUCGCGGCCUAUCAGCUUGUUGGUGGGGUGAUGGCCUACCAAGGCUUUGGCGGGUAGCCGGCCUGAGAGGGUGACCGGUCACAUUGGGACUGAGAUACGGCCCAGACUCCUACGGGAGGCAGCAGUGGGGAAUAUUGCACAAUGGGCGCAAGCCUGAUGCAGCGACGCCGCGUGAGGGAUGGAGGCCUUCGGGUUGUGAACCUCUUUCGCUCAUGGUCAAGCCGCAACAAUGGUUGUGGUGAGGGUAGUGGGUAAAGAAGCGCCGGCUAACUACGU